Long non-coding RNA from Equus asinus (donkey), 1342 nucleotides. NCBI's taxonomy places the organism in Eukaryota, Metazoa, Chordata, Mammalia, Perissodactyla, Equidae. The record is from Ensembl.
GAAAUUGUCAGGUGGUACAGAGCCAAAAGUCGGCUGUUUUAGAAAAGUGACUAUGUACAGAUUCCCUGAACUUAGUAUUUGAUUCCAUCUUCUAAGUAGAUAAUAUUCUUAAGAAGUCUCAAGCACAGUAGUACGUUUUUUAUGUCAGCCCACAAUGCCCUUUGAAAUCUUUUUACGGAAGCUCAGAGAAGACAAAGAAUUGGAAAACGUAGCUUUAGAAAUCUACUUUUAAAAACUGGUGGCACUACGUUUACGGAUGGGUGGCCUAGUAGACUGAUAAUGGUCCCAAAGUUAUCAAGUCCUAACCCUUGAAGCCUGUGAAUGUUAUCUUAUGUGGAAAAGAUCUUGAGAUGGAGAGGUUAUCCUGAGUUACUGGAUGGAUCUUAAAUGCAAUCAAGUGCCCUUAUAAAAGAGAGGCAGAGGGAGAUUUGACACAGAGAAGACACACACAAAAACAGAGGAGAAGGUGAUGUGAAGAUGGAACAAAGAGAGAUUUGAAGAUACCGGCCUUGAAGAAUGGAGUGAUGCAGACACAAGUCAAGGAACGCUGGCAGCCACCAAAAGCAAGAAGAGGCAAGGAACAGAUUCUCCCCACCAGAGGGAGCAUGACCUUGACACCUUGAUUUCAGACCAAUGAUACUGAUUUUGGAUUUCAAGCCUACAGAACUAUGAAAGAAUAAAUUUAUUUAUUUAUUUUUUAGACAUCUACUUUGUGGUACUUUGUUCCAGCAACCACAAGAAUUGAAUGCAAGGAGUUAACAUGAUGCCCUUUCUUCAAAUUUCAAUAGUGGAAUAGAGAUUGAACCAGCAUCUCAUGCCUGAGGUCUUGGGAUGUGGCCAUAUAAUUCAAAGCACACACGGAGGGGUAGUCACUCUAGCCCUGUGUUCAGGGCAUAGGCUCUGCAUUCAGGAUAUCUGGGUUUGAAUCUCACCUCUUACUAGUUUUGUCACUUUGGGCAAGCUACUUAGCUCUUUCUAUCUAAGUGUAUUCAUCUGUAAAAUGGGAAUAAUAACAAUUACACCCAUGCAUUACAAUAAUGGUUGCAAUAACACCUCUUGUAAGAGGUUUUAUUAAAGUUGAGAUAAUUCAUAUAAACUGAGCACAGAGUAAGUGCACAGUAAAUGUUAGCUAAUAUCGUUAUCUUAGUCCCAACAUAUGGACAAUGACCAUCAUUUUCUCAGAUUGCUCUUACUCAACCAUAGUCUUUCAUUCACAUUCAGUUUGUUAAUAGGGUUUAAAGAAAUUCACUUAGUAUUUAAAUAUUUUGUAUUAUGGUGUUUGGAGUCAAUUUUCUUAAACUGUAGAAUUCUUUAAAAAAUGACAACACUUUUCUAACUAUGA